AGGAGCCUGCAGACCCAAUGACUCCAACUGCAUGCACUUGUGACUCUGCCUGCGGGCCUUCUCUGACCUGGUCAGAAACCUGGAGCGAUAGUGCCCUGAGAGUAGACCUCAAGCCAAGACUGAUGCGAACUGAAGCAAGAAAGUACCUUCUUUACCACUCAGGCUUUCUGGUAACUGAUUCUCCCGCUCAUAAACGCCUACAGGGAGCAGAGAGAGCAAAAUUUCCCAACAGGUGUUCUGCAGCCUAAGCCAUAAACGGGCUGCAGAUGUGUUAAUAUGCUGUGCUCUGUAAUUGUCUGAGUAGGUCUGGAGGAAGCUAAACCCUGCAGGAUGGUCACUCCACACCAGGAAUAGGUUGAAAAAGUUUGCACAAAGGAACCUUUCCACAGAAAAGAAAAUCAUGGACAUGGAGAACAGACUUGUGGUUGUCAAGGGGGAAGAGUAUAUUUAGAUUUAGAAACACUGCCAAAUCAUCUUCUUUGCAUCUCCACCACCAAUAAGUGAGAGUUCCUGUUGCUCCACAUCCUCACCAGUAUUUGGCAUUUGAAUUUUAGGUAUGUAGUGGUAUAUCAUUAUUAUUUUAAUUCACAAUUCUCUAAUGACAUUUAAUGUUGACCAUAUUUUCCUAAGCUUAUUUGCCACUUAUAUAACUUCUUUGAUAAGGUGCCUGUUCCAAAUCUUUUGCCCCUUUUAAAAUCAGGUUGCUUGUCUUACUGUUGAAUUUUAAGAGUUCUUUGUAUAUUUUGGAUACUGGCCCUUUAUCAGAUAUGUGUUUUGCAAAUAUUUUCUCUCGGGCUGUGGCUUGUCUUUUCAUUCUGUUAACAUACUUUUCACAGAUCAGAAUUUUUUUUUAUCUUAAUGGAGUCCUACUUACCUAUUUUUUUUUCAUUGAUCUGAAAGAAAAAAAAUGGUUAAGCCUUGUAUCUAAGAAAUUAUUGCCAAUCCCAAGCUCCCCUAGAUUUUCUCCUGUUAAUCCUCUAGCACUUUUAUAGUUUGCAUUUUACAUUUAAAUCUAAGAUACCCUUUGAAUUAAUAUUUUUGCAUGUGAAGACCUGUUAUUAUAGCACCAUCUGUUGAAAAGAUUAUCCUUUCUCCACUGGAUUGUCUUUGUUCCGAUGUCAGAGAUCUGUUGACUGUUUGGGUCUAUUUCUGGGAUCUCUGCUGUUCCUCUGAACUACGUAUCCUUUUUUUUUUUUAUUUUGCAGUGGGGAAGGCAUUGCAAUAUCACAUUGCCUUGAUCACUGUAGCUUUAUAUUAAAUCUCAAAGUCAGAUAGUGUUCUGAAUUUUUUCUUCUCCUUUAAAUAUUUUUUUUUUUGGCUUUUCUGAUUCUUUUACAUUUCCAUGUAAACUUGAGAUUAAGGUUGUUAACAUCCCCAAACUAAGAUCUUGAUUGGGAUUGUGCUACAUUUAUAGCUCAAGCUGGGAAGAACUGACAACUUGAAAAUAUUGAGUCUUCCUAUUUGUGUACAUGAAAUAUCUCUCCAUAUAUUUAGAUAUUACUUAAUUUCUCUCAUUAGAGUUUUGUAGUUUAUCUCACAUUUUGUUAGAUUUAUACUGAAGUGGGUGUUUUUUUGUUUUUUUUUUUUUUGGUGCUGAUAUAAAAGAUACUGUGUUAUUUCAAAUCCCAGUUUUUCAUUGCUGGUAUAUAAGAAAGCAAUUGACUUCUGUGUAUUAACUUUGUCUCCAACAACCUUCUUAUAAUUGCUCAUUACUCCCUAAAUUUUUUAUUGUUGAUUCUUUUACAUUUUUUAUAUGGACAGUCACAUCAUCUGUGAACAAAAAUAGUUUUAUUUCUUCUUUCCCAGUCUGUAUACUUUUUAUUUCCUUUUUCUGUCUUGUCGCAUUAGCUAGGAGUUUCAAUACAAUGUUGACUAGGAGUGGUGAAAGUAGAUACAUUCACCUUCUUCCUGAUCUUAGGGAGAAAGUAUCUAGAGUUUCACCAUUAAAUAAUAUAUUAGCUAGGAAGUUUUUAUAGAUGUGCUAUAUCAAGUUGAGGAAGUUCCUCUCUAUUCCUAGUUUGCUCAGAGUUUUUAUCAUGAAUGGGUGUUGGACUGUCACAGGACUUUUCUGUAUCUACUGAUAUGAUUAUGUGAUUUUUCUUUUUUACCCUAUUGAUAUGACAGAUUAUAUUGAUUGAUUUUUGAAUGCUGAACUAACCUUGCAUUCCUGUAUUAAAUCCCAUUUGAGCACAGUGGUGUAUAAUUCUCUUUAUACAUUGCAUGAUUUGAUUUAUUAAUAUUUUGUUGGAAGUUUUUGCAUCUCUAUUAAUGAAAGUUAUUGGUCUGUAGUUUCCCUUUCUUGUAAUGUCUUUGUCUGAUUUUAGUAUUAUAGCAAUUCCGGUCUCAUAGAAUGAGAGGCACUAUUCUCUCUGCUUCUAUUUUAUGGAAGAGAUUGUAGCGAAUUGAUAUAAUUUCUUCCUUAAAUGUUUGGUAGGAGUCUCCAAUAAACUCAUCUAAGUCAGGUGCUUUGGGAUUUGGCAGGUUAUUAACUAUUCAUUUAACUAUUAAUAGAUAAAUCUCUGUUCAGAUUGUCUAUUUCUUCUUAUGCAAAUUUUGGUAGUUUGUGUCUUUCAAGGUGUCUUUCAAGGAGUUGGUCCAUUUCACCGAAGUUGUCAAUUUGUUGGCAUAGAGUUGUCCAUAAUAUUCCUUUCUUAUCCUUUUAAUGCCUAUGGAAUCAAUAGUGAUAGCCCCUCUUUCUUUUCUGAUAUUAGUUAUUUGUGUCCUCUCUCUUUUUUUCUUUACUAGCCUAGCUAGAGGUUUAUUGAUUUUUAUUGAUCAUUUCAAAGCUUUUGGUUUUGGUGAAUUUCAAUUUCAUUGAUUUUUGUUCUAGUUUUUAUUAUUUAUUUUCUUAUUGUUUUGUGUUUAAUUUUUCUCUUUUUCUAGUUCUUUAAGGUGGAAUCCUAGACUAUUGAUUAUUUAGAUCUAUUUUCUCUUCUAAUAUGUUCAUUCAAUGCUAUAAAAUUCCCUCAAAGCUCUGCUUGUGCUUUAUUCCACAAAAUCUUGGUAAGUAGUAUUUUCAUCUUCACUUAGUUCAAAAUGUGUGUAAGUUUCUCCUGAAAUUUAUUCCUUGAUUAAUGUGUUAUUUGGGGAUGUGUUCAUUUAAGUCCAAAUAUCUGGGUGAUUUUCCAACUAUAUUUUACUGAUCUCUAGUUUAAUUUGACCAAGGUCUGAGAAUAUACUUUGUAAGAUUUCUGUAUUUUUUUCUUUUUUAAUGUUUUUUUCCAGUAUAGCUGGUAGAUUUCUGUCUUUAAAUAUCUCUUAAGGUGUGUCUUAUGGCUCAGAAAUGUGAUCUUGGUGAAUGUUCUAGGUUAGUGAGGAGAAUAUGUAUCCUGUUGUAGUCAGAUGGAGCAUUUUAAAAAUGUGAGAUUCCUUUGAUUGAUGGUGCUAUUCAGGUCAACUCUAUCUUUAUUUAAAUUCUGCUUACUUGAUCUCUAAAUUACUUGAAAGAGGGGUACUGAAGUCUCCUCCUACAAUAGUGUAUUUGUCUAUUUAUUCUUUCAUUUCCAACAUUUUUUUCCUCAUAUAUUUUGAUACCCUGUUAUUAGGUGCAUACAGGUUUAGGAUGGUUAUGAGUUUUGAUAUAAAUAUAUUCUAACUAGAAAGUCAAGAGUAAUCAUGUAAGAUUAAUUCAAGAUUUAACAAAUCAAAUAUAAGAUGACCUAUCAUCUACAACCUCAAAAUAAUAUUCAUAGUUUCAUCAACUGUAUUCUAUAGAGGAAAAAGGAAAAGAGGAGAUGUAUGACUCUUGAAGCAACUGGUCCUAAGUCUGAUGUGAAGAAUUUCUGGUGAAACACUUGGAAAGAAUGGAUAAGGCCCCUAUCAUGUUACAUAAUGCUCCAAAAGGUUAUACUGAUAAGAUAAAGAUGGGUGCUAUCAUGAUGCUCCCUCUACAAAUAAAGACAUCUUUAUUAAAUCAAAUAUUAAUUUGAACCUCAGGUUAUAAGUGUACAUAAUUCAUUUAUUUUAAAGGUACUUAGAAUUGAUUAUCAUACAGUAAUUGCAUAAAAGCCUGUACAACCCAGAUGUACUGGAGGAAAGACAUCUUAAGCUUGGGAAAGUUAUCUAAUGUCUACCAGUGAUGUGUAAUAGUGAUGUCUAUUGGUUACCUCCCCCUAAAUAACAUCUCUUAUAAUACAACUACCUACUAGUCUAUUAGUGACAAACACUCAGAGAAGCUCUAGAAGUAGUAUUUGAGAUGUAGAAAAUGUGGACUCAGAGCAGCUACAAAGUUUGGCUCUCAAGAGAAAGUCCCAGAGAUCUAACCAUAUCAUUGCAUUGUGAUGCAAAACUGGACUAAUUGCUUAUUCAGAAUAUUCAAUUGAAGCUUUCUAAAGGUCUGAAUUUUCUAGUUCGUCAUUUAGAAAACAGGAGCACAGGGAAAGAGUCCACUACAUCUAACAUUAAUAAAAUUCAUAUCAAGACUCUGGCUUAUGCCAAAGAUGGAAUAAGAGUGGCCAGUUUUCCCUGCCACUUCUAGCAACUCUACCACCAUCCAACCCGAAAAAAAAA
RNAcentral lists this long non-coding RNA (4509 nucleotides) under Sus scrofa (pig). RNAcentral describes it as "lncRNA (ENSSSCG00035071625.1)". The record is from RNAcentral. Lineage: Eukaryota; Metazoa; Chordata; Mammalia; Artiodactyla; Suidae.